GACGAACGCUGGCGGCGUGCUUAACACAUGCAAGUCGAACGGAAAGGCCCUGCUUUUGUGGGGUGCUCGAGUGGCGAACGGGUGAGUAACACGUGAGUAACCUGCCCUUGACUGUGGGAUAACUUCAGGAAACUGGGGCUAAUACCGGAUAGGAGCUCCUGCUGCAUGGUGGGGGUUGGAAAGUUUCGGCGGUUGGGGAUGGACUCGCGGCUUAUCAGCUUGUUGGUGGGGUAGUGGCUUACCAAGGCUUUGACGGGUAGCCGGCCUGAGAGGGUGACCGGCCACAUUGGGACUGAGAUACGGCCCAGACUCCUACGGGAGGCAGCAGUGGGGAAUAUUGCGCAAUGGGCGGAAGCCUGAUGCAGCAACGCCGCGUGCGGGAUGACGGCCUUCGGGUUGUAAACCGCUUUCGCCUGUGACGAAGCGUGAGUGACGGUAAUGGGUAAAGAAGCACCGGCUAACUACGUG
This 468-nucleotide ribosomal RNA is filed under the name uncultured bacterium. Its description in RNAcentral is "partial 16S ribosomal RNA". It matches the Rfam family "Bacterial small subunit ribosomal RNA", at positions 28 to 507 of the family's 1533-position model. The record is from RNAcentral.